Schistosoma mattheei is the source of this 46-nucleotide non-coding RNA. The record is from Rfam. NCBI's taxonomy places the organism in Eukaryota, Metazoa, Platyhelminthes, Trematoda, Strigeidida, Schistosomatidae.
GCACUUCUGAGGAGUUUCAUACUAGGACGAAACGGCCGUCCAGUAC